Molecule: non-coding RNA, 385 nt
Organism: Paramuricea clavata
Lineage: Eukaryota; Metazoa; Cnidaria; Anthozoa; Malacalcyonacea; Plexauridae
Source: the annotation of a GenBank genome assembly
AGGAUACAGCCAGAGUCAUUGAAUCCAAGGAACCCAAGUGCAAUAGCAAUUUAUCCAGACUAUGGAACUGGAUGGCCCCAUGUUGGUUAUAUAUUGCUUCUGAACUAUGCAAGUAUCUGCACCCAUUAAUUGCUGCAGGAGAUGUCAUGGAUGUCUAUGUUCAGCAUAUCAAGUAUAGGGUUGACUUUUUUAAAAUAGGAUUUUAUCCAAAAAUUAAGUUUCAUAGAGACAUGGUUAGUGCAUGGGAGACUCAAGUGGUAGGAAAAGCAUGAGUGUAUGUUGACAGAUGUUUUUUAUAUAAAUAAUAGCAACUAUGUUUAGCAAGUUAUUGAAGUGCAUUUAUUUCAAUUGGCUAACUUUUUAGAUUUUUUCCAGCAUUUUUUAA